AUCUGUGCAUUGGAUCUCAUUUACCAUUUUCCUGUCUCAAGGUGGUGGUGCGGAUUAAGUUCAGGAUUUUUCUAGCUGAGUGUGCGGAGGCCUUUUUCCCCUUGCUGUCCAAGCUUGUUCUUCUUCUCCGAAUCAAGCUUUUUCCCCCUUUCUUCGUUUUCCUUCCCGAAGCUCGGAUCUUCAAACUAAGACGAUGACUAGGACCAACGAGCAGAUAGCCCGUGCCAUAGAGAUGAUGGCUAUGGCUAUGCAACAG
Cajanus cajan (pigeon pea) is the source of this 256-nucleotide non-coding RNA. The record is from RefSeq and is a predicted model, not a curated record. NCBI's taxonomy places the organism in Eukaryota, Viridiplantae, Streptophyta, Magnoliopsida, Fabales, Fabaceae.